Molecule: unclassified non-coding RNA, 471 nt
Filed under: Rhodotorula toruloides
Lineage: Eukaryota; Fungi; Basidiomycota; Microbotryomycetes; Sporidiobolales; Sporidiobolaceae
Source: RNAcentral
GAAGCGCCACGAUACGAAACUUCGGCCGUGGCACUUCCUCGAGCGAUGAGGAGCGAGGGCUGGCGGUGAACGGCUCGCGGGACCUGGAGGACGACUGAGGCUGCACAGGGCGACUCUUCAGGCCGAUCCGUCGACUCGACGACCCGCUCACCAACUACGACUGUGGGAAGACCCGGCUUCGGGCGGUGCGGAUUCAGCAGGCAAUCUCCAGCUUCAGCUCGACUCGCUUCUCGAACACGAGCACACGCCGGAUGGUCCCGAUCGACUCGCCUCUUCCAGCAUCGCAGCUGUAUCGACAUGACGUGCGUACUGAAGAUCAACUUCAGGCGGGACUUCCAGCGAUACAGCUUGGAAGUCCAACCCCGACUGGGUGUUGGGACAGUCUCUCCGAGGUACGAGGCGGGAUCAGGACGGUGAUUCAGGCGUAGUAGCCCAAGCACUCUCUCGUACUGUCGUCAACACCACAAGGUA